GACAGAGGUCCCGAGCGUUGCUCGGAAUCACUGGGCGUAAAGGGUGCGUAGGCGGGUCUUUAAGUCAGGGGGGAAAUCCUGGAGCUCAACUCCAGAACUGCCUUUGAUACUGAAGAUCUUGAGUUCGGGAGAGGUGAGUGGAACUGCGAGUGUAGAGGUGAAAUUCGUAGAUAUUCGCAAGAACACCAGUGGCGAAGGCGGCUCACUGGCCCGAUACUGACGCUGAUGCACGAAAGCGUGGGGAGCAAACAGG
Molecule: ribosomal RNA, 253 nt
Filed under: uncultured bacterium
Lineage: Bacteria
Description: partial 16S ribosomal RNA
Rfam family: Bacterial small subunit ribosomal RNA
Source: RNAcentral